This is a long non-coding RNA of Jatropha curcas, 579 nucleotides long. RefSeq lists it as uncharacterized. The record is from RefSeq and is a predicted model, not a curated record. NCBI's taxonomy places the organism in Eukaryota, Viridiplantae, Streptophyta, Magnoliopsida, Malpighiales, Euphorbiaceae.
UUGCUGAGAUGUCAACUGAUGAUUUGUCAAAUUAACUGCCAACAGCUUUGCCAAAGCAAACGCCCUCUCUCUCACUCGACCCACCAUCAUUGUGGCUUCACCUCUCCUCCAAACUCUAAAACUACCCACCAUCGUUGUCGCUUCAUCUCUUCUCCAAACUUCAAAACGUUUCAUCAAGAAGUCAUAGGAGAUCCGACCCUCUUCAGAGAAGUACUAGCCUUGCUUGUAAACAUAGAAAUCCUAGUGUGUUGAUUGGUCCUGUUAGGAAUGGUGGUCGCUUCGAGAAUAGCAAUUGGAUGCCUUUGCUCUCCCUCUCAGAAUGAAUUUUGUUAUUAUUGUUGACUAGGUUCAUAGAAAGUUUCAAUUUUGGUAUAGUAUAAAUAGAUUGUAUUGGGCCUUUAAAGUUCUUAGUUGUUUUUCCAUUUUUUUUGGGGCAAAAUUUGAAUUUUUAUCUGUAGUUAGAAUUUUAUUGCCUUCCUUCUAGGUUCUUUCUUGAUUUACUUGGGACUAAACUAUUUGAAAUUGUCCUAUUUUGUUGAAAAUUGAUUUAUUUAUUUACUCAAAGUUAUGGUUUUUGGA